Molecule: long non-coding RNA, 3030 nt
Organism: Brassica napus (rape)
Lineage: Eukaryota; Viridiplantae; Streptophyta; Magnoliopsida; Brassicales; Brassicaceae
Exons: 3
Source: RefSeq, a predicted model, not a curated record
UUGUUAGUAGGAGCUUCUAUAAUGUCAAGAUCAGGAGAGGGGCAAAGAGAGCCUCUUCCAAAGUUUUAUGGGACGAAUGAAUAAUGUUUUUGUUUGUGAAGAUAAUGUUCGUUUGUUCACAACAUAAGUUUUUGGCGGGUUCUACCUACCAAGCCAAUAAUCUUUAACAAUUUCAUUAAUCUCUGGCAUGUGCUAUAUUGAUCUGAAAAUGCCUAGAUCUUUUCUAUGUUGAAAAUGAUACAAAAAGAUUGUUAAAGGUUUAUGGUCCGAUUCCUUAAUUAAACUUGGAGUACUUGCAAUGCGCUGCAAGAAACAUCUCUAAUCUAGAGUAAUUCUCUGAUGGGGUCAGGACGAAAACCUGAUUCAGUUUUGUUGACAAGUUACAGGACCAAUGGUGUAGUAUGUAUGCUUGUUCUGCCCCUUUUCAUUCCUUUCUUCUCUCGCCUCCCUCCAUUUUGCAUGUCAAUCUUAUUCCUUUGUGAGAGCUUGUAUGUAAAGCAUGACACUUUCGAUGGAAUAUUUCACAAUUUUAUAUAAACUCAAAGCUCUUUUGCUGCUCUAGUUGCAGAUUCAAAGACUUUAAAGGAAGAGAAAAGAGAAGAACUUUAAAAAAUCUUAAAGCUUGACAAGUCGUUGGAUGGGGCUGUUGACGUCAUUGGUUCCAUGGAACUCUCAGCUAAGAUACUUGCAAAGUUAGUAAUCAUAUAGCUUUGGUUUUGUUUGUCUACAGAAACAAGAUCCAUUUAAAUGAGAUUUCAUAUAACUCUGCAACGGGCUCAUCAAACAGGUUAUAGACAUGGAGUUCUUCUAACUGAAGUCUUUGAUUACCCUUUCAGUGGAAACAGAACUAUCAUCUUAAGAGAGAAAUGUAUAUAUGUGAGACUAAGAAUUCUAAAUUGCAUUUGCAGGUUUAUCUGGAUACCGUGGGAGAUCCUGAGAAGUAAUGAAUAAAACUGUCUGAUAAGUUUGGUUCGAUCAAAUUUGCCGUUUCAAAGAAAGCUGAUAGUUUGUAUCCUAUUGUUAGUGGAGCAAGUAUUGUGGCCAAGGUGACCAGAGACAGAGCGUUGACAGAGUGUUGGUAGAGGAAACUGGAGAAAACAUAAACAGAAACUUGGGUUCUGGUCUUCUGGAUAUUCCGGAGAUCCUGAGACAAAGGCAUGUUAGAGCAACACAAACAUUGUGUUUGGAUUCCCAUCAUUGGUACGUUUCAGUUGGGGAACUUGCACUAACGCAUUUGAAGGGCAAUGUUGAAGUUUCAUUGUUAGUUUUUCUAGUUGCUCAUAAAAUUAUCAUUUUUGUGUAGUUUACACAAACAUUUUUGAUUUUAUAUAUCACUUAAUAGCUUAUAAAAUUAUCAUCAUUUAUUUUUGUAUAGUUAUGCAUUUGCAUUCAUAUUCUUUAUUUUAAACCAGUAAAAAAAUGCAACUUUUAUAUUAUCUUUGUAAUUACCAUUCAGAAUUGAUAAAUGGAAUAUACUGGAAACAUCCAGUGGUUUAUGGUGAAUUUUAUAAAAGCAUAAUAUACUCAAAUAUAUUAAGACGUCAGCACAGACAAGAACAGAACAAUGAAACCCUUAAUUAAUCAUGGCCACUAGAACUAUAUAGAAAACAAGGAAAGGUCUCUUCAAAAAGUGACGGAUCCGACGGCAGAUAGUUAAUGUUUCAGAUCGACGGUCGAAUGGUUCAUGCCUCUAUCUGGUUUAGUGUGAAACCACGUCAGUCUAAAAUGAAACCUCCAAUAAAAAGCCAACAAAGCUCUCUUAUUUUUUCUCUUUCGAUAAAGCUUCUCUACUUUAAUCUUUGUUUUUAUUUUUAUUAUUUCUUUGGGUGUAUUCGAGACACAUUCCAGUGAAUAUAUUCUUUACCCAUCCCUUUAUCUAGAUAACUUAUUUUAUAUUCCAAAUCAUUUUGAUUUAGACUGAGCCGACCGAAUACUUUAAUAUGCGAUCACGAAUUUUUUAAAUGUGACUGAAUGUUGAUGUAUAGAGGUAAGAUUCGAUGUUCAGUAUCUUUAGACAUUCUAGAGAAAGGACACAAAUUUAAGCAUAUUAUAGAUUGAUGCUAAAAUAGAUUUUAGUUCAAAUAUUGUAAGAGUGUUAACCAUCGUUGGGUGGUACGGGCAGAGCUAGGAAUUAUUCUCACCGGAAUCAAUAUUAUUAUACUUAUCUAGUAAUAUUAAGACAGGUGCAAAAAUUAGAUUUCAUCUUUAAACAAGAGGGUCAAUUCUAUAUGAAUGACCUUCUUUUUUUACACUAACAACUUCAGUUAUAAACAAAAAACUAGAUUUUGACCCGCCUUUGAAAAGCGCGGGUUUUUUAGGUUAUAUUAUAAUACAAAGUCUUAUUAUAUCAAAAAAUAUAUUUUUUAACAGUUAUAUAAUAUAUGAAUUAGUUUAUUUGAUAUUUUAUAUGUACACUUUUACAUAAGUUUUUUUAGGCAUGAGAAUUAUAUCCGGAUCAAAAAAACAAACCGAACCGACCCGAAAAUAUAGGUUUAGUUCAGGUCGAGAGAAGAUAACCUAUUGGAGUUUUUUUUGGACCCGCGUCCGGUCCUACCCUAGAUCCGAUCAUAAAUAUGUUGUGUUUAUUAGGUAUAUUUGGAUAUUUCGAAUAUGUUUCUGGCAUUAUCGAUGUUUUUUUUAGGUUUUUGGUUUACGAUUAUAGUUUUUGAUUUCAUGUAAAUUUUCAAAUUAAAAAAAAAAUUUUGGGUAUUUGGAUAAAAUUUUGUGUAUUUUCAGUUCAGUGUCAGAUUUUGAAUAAGAUUUUAAAUUUUUAGGUAUUUGAAUUUUUUGGGUAUUUGUUUGGAGUUUCAAGUAUUUUUCGUGUUUCAGAUAUUUUUCAGCUUUUUUAGAUAUUUCAAAUCUUUUUAGAAUCCUAAAUACCCGAACAGAUGUGGACCCAUUACGUGCAUAUCGGGUCCAACAACCUUUUGAUAUAGGUUUUUAACGUUAUUGUACAAAAACAUGGUUGAUGAAAUAUUUUUAGAAAACUCAUUUUUAAAUAUGAAAAUAUCUAUCAAAAUAUAGACGGUU